GCCAGGCCUCCUUCACCAUGACUGACGCAUACAGAGGCCACGCCUCCUUCACCAUGACUGACGCAUACAGAGGCCACGCCUCCUUCACCAUGACUGUGCGGAUACAGAGGCCACGCCUCCUUCACCAUGACUGACGCAUACAGAGGCCACGCCUCCUUCACCAUGACUGACGGAUACAGAGGCCACGCCUCCUUCACCAUGACUGACGGAUACAGAGGCCACGCCUCCUUCACCAUGACUGACAGAUACAGAGGCCACGCCUCCUUCACCAUGACUGACGGAUACAGAGGCCACGCCUCCUUCACCAUGACUGACAGAUCCAGAGGCCACGCCUCCUUCACCAUGACUGACAGUUACAGAGGCCACGCCUCCUUCACCGUGACUGAUAGAUCCAGAGGCCACGCCUCCUUCCCCAGGACAGACAGUUGUCCUGAUGUUCAUGUUAAAAGUAAAUCUGAAUCAUAUUUGACUACAAGGACGUGAUGAAUGAUAAAACUGUGAAAGGACUGACACAGAACACUUUAUGGAACUGUACCGUCACUGUCAGUUUUCAGAACAUAAAGCAAAAUUCAUAAAUCGUGUUUUAAACCCCGUGGAGUUGCCCUGCUAAUUAAAAACACAGCUACGACCGUUUUGAUUCCAAAUGAAUGCAAAAACAAUUUGACACUUAAUCAAGCUGUUUUCAUUUACUCUGCGUUAUUAAAAUAAAUGAGUAAUAAAACGUGAGAAAAAUGAAAUAAUCCACUCGUUACCACCCGAAGCAGUCGUUUGGGCUCGGCGUUGUUUUACAGUUUAGCACCUCAGCUGGAACGCUUCUCGAGUUCUUAAAUAUCAGCAGUUCCUUCCUAAUUAAAAUGAGCGAAAAUCAACAAAUGCCUCCUUUACAGGUUUCUUCUGGCAUCUGCAUUUCAGACUACUGAGACUGGAAGAGGUGGAUGAAGGGAUGGAGGAUUCAAUGGAUAACUGAUUUAAUACACAGAAGGAUGGAGAGCUAGGAGGCUGGACGCAUAGAUGAGUGGUGGGUAGGUGGAUGGAUGAAG
Ictalurus punctatus (channel catfish) is the source of this 1040-nucleotide long non-coding RNA. The record is from Ensembl. Lineage: Eukaryota; Metazoa; Chordata; Actinopteri; Siluriformes; Ictaluridae.